ACGGGGGGUGCAAGCGUUGUCCGGAAUCAUUGGGCGUAAAGCGUUCGUAGGCUGUAUGUCAAGUCUGGUGUUAAAGCCCGGGGCUCAACUCUGGAUCAGCACUGGAUACUGGCAAACUAGAGUAUGGUAGAGGAAAAGGGAAUUCCUGGUGUAGCGGUGAAAUGCGUAGAUAUCAGGAGGAACACCGGUGGCGAAGGCGCUUUACUGGGCUAUUAUUGACGCUGAGGAACGAAAGCCUGGGGAGCAAAUAG
RNAcentral lists this ribosomal RNA (251 nucleotides) under uncultured prokaryote. Its description in RNAcentral is "partial 16S rRNA". It matches the Rfam family "Bacterial small subunit ribosomal RNA", at positions 525 to 775 of the family's 1533-position model. The record is from RNAcentral.